AUGGGAGUGACAAAGGAACGGGGUAGACGAAGCGGUCUGGAAAGGCCCGCCAGAGAAGGUGACAGCCCUGUAGUCGAAACUUCGUUCCCUCCCGAGUGGCUCCUGAGUACGGCGGGACACGGGGAAUCCCGUCGGAAGCAGGGAGGACCAUCUCCCAAGGCUAAAUACUCCCUAGUGACCGAUAGUGAACCAGUACCGUGAGGGAAAGGUGAAAAGCACCCCGGAAGGGGAGUGAAAGAGAACCUGAAACCGUGUGCCUACAAGUAGUCAGAGCCCGUUAAUGGGUGAUGGCGUGCCUUUUGUAGAAUGAACCGGCGAGUUACGAUGGCGUGCGAGGUUAAGUCGAAAAGACGGAGCCGCAGCGAAAGCGAGUCUGAAUAGGGCGUAUAGUACGUCGUCGUAGACCCGAAACCAGGUGAUCUACCCAUGUCCAGGGUGAAGGUAGGGUAACACCUACUGGAGGCCCGAACCCACGCACGUUGAAAAGUGCGGGGAUGAGGUGUGGGUAGGGGUGAAAUGCCAAUCGAACCUGGAGAUAGCUGGUUCUCCCCGAAAUAGCUUUAGGGCUAGCCUCAAGGGAAGAGUCUUGGAGGUAGAGCACUGAUUGAGCUAGGGGCCCUCAUCGGGUUACCGAACUCAGUCAAACUCCGAAUGCCAACGACUUAUCCUUGGGAGUCAGACUACGAGUGAUAAGAUCCGUGGUCGAGAGGGAAACAGCCCAGAUCACCAGCUAAGGUCCCAAAGUGCACGUUAAGUGGAAAAGGAUGUGGAGUUGCCCAGACAACCAGGAUGUUGGCUUAGAAGCAGCCAUCAUUUAAAGAGUGCGUAAUAGCUCACUGGUCGAGUGACUCUGCGCCGAAAAUGUACCGGGGCUAAACGUGCCACCGAAGCUGUGGGAUGACCGUUGGUCAUCGGUAGGGGAGCGUUCUAAGUGCACCGAAGCGAGACCGGAAGGACUCGUGGAGCGCUUAGAAGUGAGAAUGCCGGUGUGAGUAGCGAAAACAGAGGUGAGAAUCCUCUGCACCGAAAGCCUAAGGGUUCCUGAGGAAGGUUCGUCCGCUCAGGGUUAGUCGGGACCUAAGCCGAGGCCGAAAGGCGUAGGUGAUGGGCAACAGGUAGAGAUUCCUGUACCACCUCCUCACCGUUUNNNNNNNNNNNNNNNNNNNNNNNNNNNNNNNNNNNNNNNNNNNNNNNNNNNNNNNNNNNNNNNNNNNNNNNNNNNNNNNNNNNNNNNNNNNNNNNNNGCAAAGGCUGAGCCGUGAUGGCGAAGGGACCAUCGGUCCCGAAGUCCCCGAUCCUACACUGCCAAGAAAAGCCUCUAGCGAGGUGAGAGGUGCCCGUACCGCAAACCGACACAGGUAGGCGAGGAGAGAAUCCUAAGGUGCGCGGGAGAACUCUCGUUAAGGAACUCGGCAAAAUGACCCCGUAACUUCGGGAGAAGGGGUGCUCUCUUGGGUGAUGAGCCCGAGGGAGCCGCAGUGAAAAGGCCCAAGCGACUGUUUAUCAAAAACACAGGUCUCUGCGAAGCCGAAAGGCGAAGUAUAGGGGCUGACACCUGCCCGGUGCUGGAAGGUUAAGGGGAGCGCUUAGCGAAAGCGAAGGUGCGAACCGAAGCCCCAGUAAACGGCGGCCGUAACUAUAACGGUCCUAAGGUAGCGAAAUUCCUUGUCGGGUAAGUUCCGACCCGCACGAAAGGUGUAACGACUUGGGCACUGUCUCAACGAGAGACCCGGUGAAAUCAUACUACCUGUGAAGAUGCAGGUUACCCGCGACAGGACGGAAAGACCCCGUGGAGCUUUACUGCAGCCUGAUAUGGAAUUUUGGUAUCGCUUGUACAGGAUAGGUGGGAGCCUGGGAAGCCGGAGCGCCAGCUUCGGUGGAGGCGCCGGUGGGAUACCACCCUGGCGGUAUUGAAAUUCUAACCCGCACCCCUUAUCGGGGUGGGAGACAGUGUCAGGUGGGCAGUUUGACUGGGGCGGUCGCCUCCCAAAAGGUAACGGAGGCGCCCAAAGGUUCCCUCAGAAUGGUUGGAAAUCAUUCGGAGAGUGCAAAGGCACAAGGGAGCUUGACUGCGAGACGGACAGGUCGAGCAGGGACGAAAGUCGGGCUUAGUGAUCCGGUGGUUCCGUAUGGAAGGGCCAUCGCUCAACGGAUAAAAGCUACCCCGGGGAUAACAGGCUGAUCUCCCCCAAGAGUCCACAUCGACGGGGAGGUUUGGCACCUCGAUGUCGGCUCAUCGCAUCCUGGGGCUGUAGUCGGUCCCAAGGGUUGGGCUGUUCGCCCAUUAAAGCGGUACGCGAGCUGGGUUCAGAACGUCGUGAGACAGUUCGGUCCCUAUCCGUCGCGGGCGCAGGAAAUUUGAGAGGAGCUGUCCUUAGUACGAGAGGACCGGGAUGGACGCACCGCUGGUGUACCAGUUGUCCCGCCAGGGGCACCGCUGGGUAGCUAUGUGCGGAAGGGAUAAGCGCUGAAAGCAUCUAAGCGUGAAGCCCCCCUCAAGAUGAGAUUUCCCAUCGCGUCAAGCGAGUAAGAUCCCUCGAAGAUGACGAGGUCGAUAGGUCCGAGGUGGAAGCGUGGCGACACGUGGAGCUGACGGAUACUAAUCGAUCGAGGACUUAACCAA
This 2623-nucleotide ribosomal RNA is filed under the name Parageobacillus caldoxylosilyticus. RNAcentral describes it as "Saccharococcus caldoxylosilyticus 23S ribosomal RNA". It matches the Rfam family "Bacterial large subunit ribosomal RNA", at positions 309 to 2925 of the family's 2925-position model. Lineage: Bacteria; Bacillati; Bacillota; Bacilli; Caryophanales; Anoxybacillaceae. The record is from RNAcentral.